GUGAGUUUGAUCAUGGCUCAGGACGAACGCUGGCGGCGUGCUUAACACAUGCAAGUCGAACGGUGAACCGCUUUCGGGCGGGGAUCAGUGGCGAACGGGUGAGUAACACGUGGGUAACCUGCCCUGAACUCUGGGAUAACUCCGGGAAACCGGGGCUAAUACCGGAUACGACCUUCUCCGGCAUCGGAGGGGGUGGAAAGUUUUUCGGUUCAGGAUGGACCCGCGGCCUAUCAGCUUGUUGGUGGGGUAAUGGCCUACCAAGGCUUUGACGGGUAGCCGGCCUGAGAGGGCGCCCGGCCACUCUGGGAGUGAGACACGGUCCAGACUCCUACGGCAGGCAGCAGUGNGGAAUAUUGCACAAUGGGCGAAAGCCUGACNCAGGGUCNCCGCGUGAGGCAUGA
This 401-nucleotide ribosomal RNA is filed under the name bacterium Ellin201. RNAcentral describes it as "bacterial SSU rRNA". It matches the Rfam family "Bacterial small subunit ribosomal RNA", at positions 1 to 411 of the family's 1533-position model. Lineage: Bacteria; Bacillati; Actinomycetota; Actinomycetes; Actinomycetales. The record is from RNAcentral.